RNAcentral lists this long non-coding RNA (590 nucleotides) under Homo sapiens (human). RNAcentral describes it as "HSALNT0369357". The record is from RNAcentral. Lineage: Eukaryota; Metazoa; Chordata; Mammalia; Primates; Hominidae.
CCACAACGAUGCUUUCUAUAGAGCCUGUGGAACAGAAACAAGAUGUAUUCAAACCGACUGGGAAAUACUGCAUCUUAGCUACAUCCCUAGAGUUGAACAGACACAUUUCAAGCCUUAUCCAAGUUUAGGACUUUUGGAAAGCAUUGCAGUUGCGAAUAAGAGAAUGUGCUUGGAAUCUUACUCUUGUGCAUUGAAGAAGGAUAAGAAACAGGAAGAAGUAGAAGAAUAAGGGGCUGGAGAUCAAGACCUACCCAUUGUGAUGAAUAAAUCCAGGCUCUCAGCAAUGCAGGGAGAAAAAGUUUUGUCUAUCAACACUGCAGCAACCAGGUAAUUCUGUGCACAGACCAAGUCUCUUAGCACAGGCACCAGCCCUGGAGUUCAUGUCCUCAUCAAAGGAUGGAAAGAAGCAAAGCUCAAAUCAGCUUGGGAAGGACCUUACCUAGUGCUCCUGACCACUGUAACCAUCAUCCAGACAGCAGAGAAAGGAUGGACUCAUUAUACCCGAGUCAAAGUGUUGCCACCUCCACAGUCAUGGGCCAUUGUUCCAGGGGAAAGCCCUACCAAAUUAAAGCUAAGAAAAACUUAUCACC